CUCUGAUUCAAAGGAAAAUCGUGUUCAGUUAAGCAAUUCUUUGAGUUUAUUAAACAAUAUGGAAUCAUGUUGUCUCAGAGAACAUGGCUAUUGUACAAGAAGUAGAAUUCUUGGGCACACACAUUAAAGAUGGUCAAUACACUCCAACCACAUGUUGGUAACACCUAAACAACCGAGCAAAAAAUGAGUUGAUUUCCAGCCUUCUCAAUGAUGGAAAAUAAAACAAAUUUAGGCAACAAUUUUGAUUGAAGAGAAAAUCGGAAGUAGAAGAGUAUGCAGUUACAAAUAUGGGACAUUCCUAGAUUCAUAACACCGUUACCAUUCCACUUUCAAAGAAAUUCUUGCAAUCAAAAGAGAUAUUGAAAAGUUCCUACUGUUGACAAAUUAUUUAUAGAAAUGAACAUGUCUGCAUUUCCAAACAUGAUGACCUUAAAAAAUAAACAAGUUCCAACUCAACUUCUCCGAUGGGCUGAAUAGUUUUCGAAUUUUGACUUUAAUGUAGAACACAUAAAAAUCUUCCCUCACGACCAAAAUUAUCACAUGUCAAUUCUAUCCAUAUUCCCAUUGCUUAGAUGAUGAAUCGUCAACAAUCUUCCUCUAGAACUUCAUUCUCUCCACGGAACCAGGACUCUUCAUUUCAGAACCAAAGAACUGAUACUUAAAUACCGGUCAUUGGUAAUUACUAAAACUGGAAUUCAAACUUUAAGAGGCCUAGGUUUU
This 720-nucleotide long non-coding RNA is filed under the name Olea europaea subsp. europaea. The record is from RNAcentral. Lineage: Eukaryota; Viridiplantae; Streptophyta; Magnoliopsida; Lamiales; Oleaceae.